UGUCAGCCCCUCCCAGAGUGUACUUGGAAGGUGAAGACACUCAUCAUUUGCCAGCAUGUUUCUGAGACUUUAUUUUUCUUCAUUUUCCAAAGAUGAAAACCAAGCAAAAAGCAGAGGCAUCAGUUUUUCCCUACAAGCUGACUUGUAGAAACAUUUGUAGAGACACUCCAACCAAUCCAGUGGAAGCAUUUCCUUUACUUGGAUGGAUGAACUCCAUUCAUUCAAGGAUGGUCAUGGGAACUGUCGGAGCCAAGGAGGUGCAAAGGUACUUUUGAAGACCUAAUUCAGAGAGGUCUGGACAGUGGACCAAAUUUCCUGCUUUUUGCUUGGCUCUUUGGCAUCAUGCAUACCCUAUGUGUGUAUGUGUCCUUGCAUCAAAUGUCUCUCAGUGGGUGAGAGAUGCUAUUGGUCUUGGACUGGCUUUCUGUAUAAUUAUGAUGAA
Bubalus bubalis (water buffalo) is the source of this 442-nucleotide long non-coding RNA. RefSeq lists it as uncharacterized. Lineage: Eukaryota; Metazoa; Chordata; Mammalia; Artiodactyla; Bovidae. The record is from RefSeq and is a predicted model, not a curated record. The transcript has 3 exons.